UCCAUUUUGUACUUUAUUUAUCCUUUCGGACUUCCAAAAUUCAAACUUUCUCUUAUGUUUCAGUCUUGUCCUUGUGUCGGUCUUUACUAUAUUUUUCCCUACAGACUUCAAACACUUUCAGCAGCGACAUCAAGGACCAAGAAGCCACAGAUCACUUGGUUACUUAGGGCUUCGGUUUCAGGGGUGCAAUUUAUAAGCUUUUAUUACUGAU
RNAcentral lists this long non-coding RNA (211 nucleotides) under Panax ginseng (ginseng). RNAcentral's name for it is "long non-coding RNA (PGIN_LNC013611)". The record is from RNAcentral. Lineage: Eukaryota; Viridiplantae; Streptophyta; Magnoliopsida; Apiales; Araliaceae.